This 411-nucleotide ribosomal RNA is filed under the name Charybdis hellerii. Its description in RNAcentral is "partial 16S ribosomal RNA". The stretch from base 273 to 411 matches the Rfam family "Bacterial large subunit ribosomal RNA", at positions 2473 to 2612 of the family's 2925-position model. Lineage: Eukaryota; Metazoa; Arthropoda; Malacostraca; Decapoda; Portunidae. The record is from RNAcentral.
UGGUUGGACAAAGAAGAGACUGUCUCUUGUGUUAUAAUUGAAUUUAACUUUUAAGUGAAAAGGCUUAAAUAUUCUAGAGGGACGAUAAGACCCUAUAAAGCUUUAUAAAUUUGAAGAUUUUGUGUAUUUUUAUAUAAAAAUGAAUUUUGAAGAUUUUAUUUGGUUGGGGCGACAAUGGUAUAAUGAGAAUAACUGCUAUUAAAAUUAACAAUUAUAUUUGAAUUAUUAAUAAUUGAUCCUUUAUAAGGAUUUUAAGAUCAAGUUACUUUAGGGAUAACAGCGUUAUUUUUCUUGAGAGUUCUUAUCAAAGGAAAAGUUUGCGACCUCGAUGUUGAAUUAAAAUGUCUAUAUAGUGCAGCAGCUAUAAAAGAAGGUCUGUUCGACCUUUAAUAUUUUACAUGAUUUGAGUUC